This is a long non-coding RNA of Osmerus eperlanus (European smelt), 1708 nucleotides long. RefSeq lists it as uncharacterized. Lineage: Eukaryota; Metazoa; Chordata; Actinopteri; Osmeriformes; Osmeridae. The record is from RefSeq and is a predicted model, not a curated record. The transcript is spliced from 8 exons.
UCUCUCUCUCUCUCUCUCUCUCUCUCUCUCUCUCUCUCUCUGUCUGUCCAAUGAUGGCGUCCAAACGUCCAUCGGAUAAUCUCAACCAAGGGGGCAGACUCACUGCACUCUCCAUCAAACAAAAACAUUUUUUAAAUGAAGCGAGGGUUAGUGCUUUUACAAUAAACCUACAUUUAGGUUGCUAUACAGUGCCAUUAUACAGUAACAUUUCAAGGAUCACAGUCAAACUAUAUUUUUCACAGAAACGGAGUAAUGGAGCAUCCAGAGAGGCUACUCCACUGAUUAAAAGGGGAUGUGUAGUUGGUCCACGAGGCAAGCCUAAGGGAAGAUGUGGUGGGCGAAGGCAGGGCUCAACUACUGGAACUCCUUCCAGUGCAGAGAAAUCCUCUCCGGAGCUCCAAACUCAAGAAGAAUUUGACCGAAACAUGGAGAAACUUUUGGAAAUGUUGAAGUCUUGCCCAGUUGCAAUGCCAACGGAGUCCCCACAAACCACUUCAUCUUGGCACUCACGUCACCUGACAGCACAAGAGCAUUGGAAAGAAGCUCGGCCAUUUCACCUGAAAUGUCUUCUGGACUCAGAGGAUGUUGGCCAGGAACUGUGCUACAUCUGCCAGAAGACUGCUGUCAUACGGUUGAACCACUUGUUUGCAUUUUCUAGCUACAUGUUUGGGAGUAAAAAGUAGUUAGCACCUCCAUUUUAGUCUGAAAACUGAAACACUAAAAUAGCUAGCUAAUAAACCUUGUUUUCCUUUCUUGGGUGCAGAGAUUGUCUUCCUGAGGAGUGGCUGUGUGAGGCAUGUGAUGUCCACAUUCAUAAAAGAUGGCCACUCCACAACAGAGACAGUGUGGUAGAUGGAUUCUUCAGAGCCAUUCCUCCAUCCACCUAUCUAGCUAUUGGUGAAGCUGGGCAGUACACCACCCAAGAGCAAGCUUGCAUUUUACCCACAGUGCGUGCUCCUAAAUUAUGUUCCUGUGAGGUCGCCAACGUCACUGUGUUGGCUGGAAAAGCAGUAAUCCUCAUUACCAUGAAUGGACGUUAUGACUUGCACAAACCUGUGUAUUUGUGCAAUAUCUGCCUGCAAAAGUGGACCCCAGAAGUCAGGGACCUGAUCAAAAGCGGAUAUUGUCCAGCUACAACACAUUCACAGACCCUAUACUCUCUUGACCUCCUAAGCUCUUUCCAGGAGUUGAAGGGGAUUCUCCAGGCUUGUCCAGGAAGGCCUUCACAAAGUUACUUGAACAUCGCACACAGCGUGCUGGAAGAUCUGGUCAAAUCAACGGGGAUGCACUGCAGCGGAGCUUUCUGGAGUUUAUGUACUGUUCCUUUCAGAAAGAGCAGCUCUGCUGUGUGACCCCAUUCACCUGUCCAGCCUGCACACCACAAACAGUUGCCGUGUCAGUUGAUGGUAAUCGUAAGAUUUAUCACUUUCGGCGAUCAGGAAGCUCUGAUGAAGCUGCAUUUUUUGACAUGCUGUUCCUUGCAAAGGACAGUGAGGUGGCAAGUUUUGUUGGCCUCAUCCACAGUGCUGUAAAAAGCACACAAGGGAGGGGCACGUGUGGUGCCUCACAUUGGACAGCCGCAAGGGACACAUCCAGGAGGGCCAACAAGCUAGAUGAGGAAGGUGUUGAGGUGGCUAUGUGUCACCACGGAUAUUUGCUGAAAGGCCUCAGCAUGUACGGGGGGGAGAUUUUUGCAUACCCACUGUAU